RNAcentral lists this ribosomal RNA (467 nucleotides) under uncultured bacterium. RNAcentral describes it as "partial 16S ribosomal RNA". It matches the Rfam family "Bacterial small subunit ribosomal RNA", at positions 28 to 506 of the family's 1533-position model. The record is from RNAcentral.
GACGAACGCUGGCGGCGUGCUUAACACAUGCAAGUCGAACGGAAAGGCCCUGCUUUUGUGGGGUGCUCGAGUGGCGAACGGGUGAGUAACACGUGAGUAACCUGCCCUUGACUUUGGGAUAACUUCAGGAAACUGGGGCUAAUACCGGAUAGGAGCUCCUGCUGCAUGGUGGGGGUUGGAAAGUUUCGGCGGUUGGGGAUGGACUCGCGGCUUAUCAGCUUGUUGGUGGGGUAGUGGCUUACCAAGGCUUUGACGGGUAGCCGGCCUGAGAGGGUGACCGGCCACAUUGGGACUGAGAUACGGCCCAGACUCCUACGGGAGGCAACAGUGGGGAAUAUUGCACAAUGGGCGGAAGCCUGAUGCAGCAACGCCGCGUGCGGGAUGACGGCCUUCGGGUUGUAAACCGCUUUCGCCUGUGACGAAGCGAGAGUGACGGUAAUGGGUAAAGAAGCACCGGCUAACUACGU